This 75-nucleotide transfer RNA is filed under the name Candidatus Endolissoclinum faulkneri L2. RNAcentral describes it as "tRNA-Val". It matches the Rfam family "tRNA". Rfam says of the family: Transfer RNA (tRNA) molecules are approximately 80 nucleotides in length. Their secondary structure includes four short double-helical elements and three loops (D, anti-codon, and T loops). Further hydrogen bonds mediate the characteristic L-shaped molecular structure. tRNAs have two regions of fundamental functional importance: the anti-codon, which is responsible for specific mRNA codon recognition, and the 3' end, to which the tRNAs corresponding amino acid is attached (by aminoacyl-tRNA synthetases). tRNAs cope with the degeneracy of the genetic code in two manners: having more than one tRNA (with a specific anti-codon) for a particular amino acid; and 'wobble' base-pairing, i.e. permitting non-standard base-pairing at the 3rd anti-codon position. Lineage: Bacteria; Pseudomonadati; Pseudomonadota; Alphaproteobacteria; Rhodospirillales; Rhodospirillaceae. The record is from RNAcentral.
UGGGUGCGUAGCUCAGUGGUAGAGCGCUACGUUGACAUCGUAGAGGUCGCUGGUUCGAACCCAGUCGUGCCCACC